RNAcentral lists this transfer RNA (92 nucleotides) under Clostridia bacterium. RNAcentral's name for it is "tRNA-Ser". It matches the Rfam family "tRNA". Rfam says of the family: Transfer RNA (tRNA) molecules are approximately 80 nucleotides in length. Lineage: Bacteria; Bacillati; Bacillota; Clostridia. The record is from RNAcentral.
GGAGUGGUAUCGAAGUGGUCAUAACGAGACUGUCUCGAAAACAGUUAGUCAUUAAUAGUGACACGUGGGUUCGAAUCCCACCCACUCCGCCA